This 115-nucleotide transfer RNA is filed under the name Tolypothrix sp. PCC 7910. RNAcentral describes it as "tRNA-Ser". It matches the Rfam family "tRNA". Rfam says of the family: Transfer RNA (tRNA) molecules are approximately 80 nucleotides in length. Their secondary structure includes four short double-helical elements and three loops (D, anti-codon, and T loops). Further hydrogen bonds mediate the characteristic L-shaped molecular structure. tRNAs have two regions of fundamental functional importance: the anti-codon, which is responsible for specific mRNA codon recognition, and the 3' end, to which the tRNAs corresponding amino acid is attached (by aminoacyl-tRNA synthetases). tRNAs cope with the degeneracy of the genetic code in two manners: having more than one tRNA (with a specific anti-codon) for a particular amino acid; and 'wobble' base-pairing, i.e. permitting non-standard base-pairing at the 3rd anti-codon position. Lineage: Bacteria; Bacillati; Cyanobacteriota; Cyanophyceae; Nostocales; Tolypothrichaceae. The record is from RNAcentral.
GGAGAGGUGGCUGAGUGGCUCAAAGCGUCCUCCUGCUAAGAGGAAACGGGUUUUAAAGCCCGUCGCAGGUACUCUUCGAGAAGCCGCUCCGCGUCUACAAAUCCUGUCCUCUCCG